Molecule: ribosomal RNA, 327 nt
Filed under: uncultured eukaryote
Lineage: Eukaryota
Description: partial 18S ribosomal RNA
Rfam family: Eukaryotic small subunit ribosomal RNA
Source: RNAcentral
CCCUUAGAUGUUCUGGGCCGCACGCGCGCUACACUGACGAAUGCAACGAGCUUAUAACCUGGGCCGAAAGGUCUGGGUAAUCUCCAAAUUUCGUCGUGAUGGGGAUAGAUUAUUGCAAUUAUUAAUCUUCAACGAGGAAUGCCUAGUAAGCGCAAGUCAUCAGCUUGCGUUGAUUACGUCCCUGCCCUUUGUACACACCGCCCGUCGCUCCUACCGAUUGAAUGGUCCGGUGAAGCGUUCGGACCGUGGCCUUUGGACGGUUCGCCGUCUGUUGGCUGCGGGAAGUUCGUUAAACCUUAUCAUUUAGAGGAAGGAGAAGUCGUAACA